CGCGAGCGGGGGCGGAGCGGCCCGUGGUGCAGAUCUUGGUGGUAGUAGCGAUCACCCAGGCGAGAACCCUGAGGGCCGAAGUGGAGAAGGGUUUCUCGAGAACGGCACUCGCUCGAGAGUUAGUCGAUCCUAAGCUGCCGGCGGCAGCCACGAAACGGUCGAUCGGGCGCGAGCCCGGCAGCCACGACCGGGCAGCGAAAGGGAAUUGGGAACCUCCUUCCCAAAACCCGGAACCGGAACGAGGGCGGCGACGCGAACGAAACGGCCGCGGAGACGGCGGCCGCGGCCCCGGAGAGAGUUCUCUUUUCUGUGCGACUGGACGUCGGCCCCGGAAUCGCGUCGAGCGGAGGGGGGUCGGAGUUCAGGAAUAGCACCCCGGCCUUUCGGGGUGUCCGGGCGGCCGCGGUCGUCCCAUGAAAAUCCGCGGAUGAACGAGUAGGCGACGGUCCGGGUCGGUACCAAUGACCGCAUCGGGUCUCCGAAGGUUGAAAGCCUCUGGCUAACGGG
This 507-nucleotide ribosomal RNA is filed under the name uncultured eukaryote. RNAcentral describes it as "eukaryotic LSU rRNA". It matches the Rfam family "Eukaryotic large subunit ribosomal RNA", at positions 1416 to 1894 of the family's 3401-position model. The record is from RNAcentral.